Molecule: ribosomal RNA, 439 nt
Filed under: uncultured bacterium
Lineage: Bacteria
Description: partial 16S ribosomal RNA
Rfam family: Bacterial small subunit ribosomal RNA
Source: RNAcentral
CUACGGGGCGCUCCAGUGGGGAAUAUUGCACAAUGGAGGAAACUCUGAUGCAGCAACGCCGCGUGGAGGAUGACACUUUUCGGAGCGUAAACUCCUUUUAUAUAGGAAGAUAAUGACGGUACUAUAUGAAUAAGCACCGGCUAACUCCGUGCCAGCAGCCGCGGUAAUACGGAGGGUGCAAGCGUUACUCGGAAUCACUGGGCGUAAAGAGCGUGUAGGCGGGUCAAUAAGUCAGAAGUGAAAUCCUAUGGCUCAACCAUAGAACUGCUUUUGAAACUGUUAACCUAGAGUGUGGGAGAGGUAGAUGGAAUUUCUGGUGUAGGGGUAAAAUCCGUAGAGACCAGAAGGAAUACCGAUUGCGAAGGCGAUCUACUGGAACAUAACUGACGCUGAGACGCGAAAGCGUGGGGAGCAAACAGGAUUAGAUACCCUUGUAGUC